RNAcentral lists this ribosomal RNA (519 nucleotides) under uncultured Glomeromycotina. RNAcentral describes it as "SSU rRNA". It matches the Rfam family "Eukaryotic small subunit ribosomal RNA", at positions 569 to 1089 of the family's 1831-position model. The record is from RNAcentral. Lineage: Eukaryota; Fungi; Glomeromycota.
AGCAGCCGCGGUAAUUCCAGCUCCAAUAGCGUAUAUUAAAGUUGUUGCAGUUAAAAAGCUCGUAGUUGAAUUUCGGAAUCUGUCCAUCGGUCGGGCUUCACUGUCCGUACUGGUGUGGUGGGUUCUUACCUUCUGAAUAACCAGCAUGCCAUUUAUUUGGUGCGCUGGGGAAGCAGGACUAUUACCUUGAAAAAUUAGAGUGCUCAAAGCAGGCUAGUGCCUGAAUACAUUAGCAUGGAAUAAUAAAAUAGGACGGCAUGGUUCUAUUUUGUUGGUUUCUAGGAUCACCGUAAUGAUUAAUAGGGAUAGUUGGGGGCAUUAGUAUUCAAUUGUCAGAGGUGAAAUUCUUGGAUUUAUUGAAGACUAACUUCUGCGAAAGCAUUUGCCAAGGAUGUUUUCAUUAAUCAAGAACGAAAGUUAGGGGAUCGAAGACGAUCAGAUACCGUCGUAGCCUUAACCAUAAACUAUGCCGACUAGGGAUCGGACGAUGUUAAUUUUUAAUGACUCGUUCGGCGUCCG